Mus musculus (house mouse) is the source of this 2237-nucleotide RNA transcript. It is a transcript of the gene named centrosomal protein 20, with no coding region annotated. The record is from RefSeq and is marked provisional. The transcript is spliced from 4 exons. NCBI's taxonomy places the organism in Eukaryota, Metazoa, Chordata, Mammalia, Rodentia, Muridae.
UUAAAGUCUAUAUUUUCUAUUUCUUACAGUUUACUUCCUCGAAAAUAUGCUCACUAGCAUCCACUCAUAGACUUCCACUAUUGGGCUGUCCAGAAUUUUAAGGGUCCAGUGUCUUAGACUCCCUGGAGAGUCAACUGCCAUUAUACUGCCUCACAUUUUGAAUGUAUUAUUCCCAUGUUUGUUCUUCUUAAUCUUUUAUCAGCUGUUUCCACAAACAACUCGAGGAUUCCAAAUGUACUCGGUGUUAACGGUAGUGUAGAGAGCAAGCUUUGAAGAGAUGCUGGCCUGGGUUUAGGUUAUCACCUGCUCCACCAUUUGCCAGUGAUCUUCCUUUAGACACUCAACUUCCUCCUCUGUAUAACGGGCAUCAUUGACCUGAGGCGUGUAAAGACUUCCUAGUGUUCACUUUCGAGUGGGUGCCGUGUAAGAUGAUUUUUAAGGUGGCACUUCUCAGACUAACAGCAUCCAUCCACAGCAUUCUGGAAGUUGACAGAAAAACCAACUCUUGGUCCGUGCCUCAGAAAGACCCAAGGGUGGGUCAGAGCAGUCUGUUCUAACCAGUCUUCCAGGUAAUUCUGACGCUGGGUUGUGUCUGGGACUCGGACUGAGCACAAAGCCUGCCAAGGUGCGGGGAGGGGAGGUGAACAAUCAGCACCUUGACCUGUAGGACUUGGGCGGCGACAAAAGGCAAAGCAGUUGGGUACAGAUUUGGCUCUGGCUCCAAGCUUUUCUGCAGUGUAGCCCGCCUCACACGGUCGCUGAUUGGUGGAGUCUCAUGUGGCGGCUCGCCAAUCACCGGAGCGCAGGCACAGACGCGGUCUAGCAGAGCCAUACUCCUAUUGGUUGGAGGCCGCGCCGAGAGCCGUGCGUACGCACUGGAGAGGCGUGGCACCAGCAGCCGUUGAAAAAUGGCGACUGUUACGGAACUGAAAGCUGUUUUAAAGGACACCUUGGAAAAAAGGGGAGUGUUAGGACAUUUAAAAGCAAGGAUCCGUGCUGAAGUUUUCAAUGCCCUGGAUGAUGAUCGUGAACCCCGACCGUCUUUGUCUCAUGAGAACCUUCUAAUUAAUGAAUUAAUUAGGGAGUAUUUGGAAUUCAAUAAAUAUAAAUACACAGCCUCUGUCCUCAUAGCAGUCCUCUAUUGUAUGGAAUUUUAGCCCAUUUCUUGCGUGGUCCUCCAGAUGGAGCCCAGAAUGUGCUUCUGACAGAGUCAACCCUGCACCCGGCAACCAAGCAUCUCAGCUGGAAGCCCAGCAGAAGACCUGACGAUGACCACGUGAGGAAGGACACAGGGCCAAGAACCACAACUGAAGAGCUUCCUGCUGCUGCACAAGCAGUCAGCAGAUGAUGCGAUGCAUACACCAGGCUCAUCACCUCAGCUGUGUGUGGAGUAACCGACGUAUUAUUCCCAAUGCCAUCAAUUAGACCACCACUGCUUGUAAAUGUUUGAGUGUCUGCAUUCAGCCACUCAUGGUUUACUGCAUCUGUGGAAAGCUGAUCUGUCGUCUCGCUUGCUGGAUGCCACUGGGGAAAAUUUAUUGUUUUCAGGAUGUAUUUUUAAAGUUCUCAUUUGUGAAAUCUGAAAGGGCUUUUUAGUACUUUGUAUAGGGUUUUGUUUUGGGUUUUUUGGCCAGCUCUAAGGGCUGUUGCUAUGCUGCUGGUAAAGCACUUCCCUCCCUAUGCAAGGUCCUGGGUUCAGUCCUAGCACUGAAGAAAGAAAGCACAAGAACAGGUCUUUGUCCAUGUGCUCUGCUCAUUAAACUUUUUUCAGCUAGAAGUAUAUGGACCUAUGGGGAAAGUCAUUCAUGUUUUGAAAAAAUAUCUAAAGGAAUAUUAAAACCAGAACUUAAUUUAUAUGAAGUUUGAUUUUUUAAAAAAUACCUGAAUUAUUAUUGCCUGCCCUGGCUAGUUUUAUAUCAACUUGAUACAAGCUAGAGUCAUUUGGGGAGAGGGACUCUGAAUUGAGAAAAUCCCUCCAUCAGAUUGGCUUAUGGGCAAACCUGUAGUACAUUUUUCUUGAUUCAUGAUUGAUAUGGGAGGGUCCAGCCCACAGUGGGUGGUGUCACCCCUGGGCAGGUGAUCCUGGGUUCAGUAAGAAAGACUGAGCAAGCCAUGGGGAGCAAGCCACUAAGUAGCACUCCUCUGUGGCCUCUGCAUUAACUUCUGCCGUGAUUUCUCUCAGUGACAAACUGUGAUGUUGAACUGUAAGCUGAAAUAAACCUUCUUCUUCCCAAGUU